CAGAGCUACAAGAAGUACACAAAAGACAGGGGUGUAGAAGAAAGAGCUGGAAUCCAGCCCUCAACUGAAAAUGUUCUUUGAGUUUUUCCUUCCCGUUUUUUUUUUCUUGAUUUACAAAAUCGGUGUAUUCAGCUUAAGUAAACAGGAAGGAAGCCGUGAGUGUGUGAGCUGAAAGUCAGUUUUGGAUCUUUGUUUUGUUCCUCUCACUUUGCAGAGAAGCCGUUGCCACAAGGUGGCCCUGGAGGCUUCAUCGGCAUCUUGGGGAUCAUAGUAGCUGGUGGACUCAUCAUUGGAGUGGCCGUCACUGUGUUUGUGGUCUACAGACGGCAGCAGAAGACUCGCACGGAGACCGACAACGACCUGACCGAUCUCCCUCCAGCUCACAAGCCAGCCCCUCCCCCACCCAAGAAGAAGAACACUGAAUUCAAGUGCCACUUGACGUCUGAAGAAAUCCAGAACCCUGGGAAGCAUUAUGAAGAGCUACCCAACACAGCUGACUAUGUGAGCUAUCGCCUUGCCUGCAACAAAGAGGAUUGCAUUGAUCCCCACCCCCCUUCAGUGUACCCUCCACUGACGUAUCUGCCACAGAACCCCUACACACACCUUCCCUCCAGCAAUCCAGCAUUCAGGUGCCCGGUUCCAGGUUCGAUCGCUCCUUACACCUUCCCCAAAGAGCAAUAUGUCUAGGUAGCUGGCUCCACUUGGUAGAAACCUUAAUUUGAAAAGUAAUGAAUAAUAAUAAUGAUAGUAAUGGAUAAUUAAUGUACAGCGUGGGGUUCUUACAAUUUAUGGACAUAUCUGUGCUGUAUCGGCCCCGUGUGCGUGGUGUACAGCAUGUUUCAUCAAAAUGAUGCCCGGGCCCCUCAUGAUCCGUCCCAGAGUGAAGCUCUCCUUGGUAUCUGUGCUCCAGGUACCCCGAUAAAAAAAGCACCUUCGCCUUGUUUGUUCUUCUCCAACGUUGGUGUCUUUCUACAUUUCAGUUAUUUCAAUGUGUAUGUGUUUACAGUCAAUGUCUGCUGGAGUUUUCCUGUUUUUUUUUAAAUUAUUAUUUAUAUUCUAUCUGCAGAUAAUAAUAUGCGGUGUUAUCUGGAUGUAAAACAAUGACGUUUUCUUCUUUUUUUUUGAAAGUUCUUUAAUUUCAUCUAAAUGUGUUUGGAGGCACUGAAAAUUUCUGAUAAUUAUUUCAACAUAAUAUAGUCAAGAUUUUGAGUGGAACCAGAAUUUUAACCCACAUGUACUAUUCCCUGUGGGGGAAGAAAAAACCAGCUGCAGGGGGAUAAAAUUUUCUAUGAAACUUGAAUACAGAAUGAUUUUUUUUUUUUUUUUUUGUUUUUUUUUCUGGCCUUGCUGUCUCUGCAGCACUAUAAUGGGAAGGAACAAAAAAAAACGUGAUUCACAUCAGUUUCAUUGCUGAGUUCUCUGGGAUGAAACAGUGAAAUAUAGAGUGGCCACUACUUUCAACUCUCUUUUCUCUUAUUCUUUCUCUUAUUCUUUGUAGCGUUAAUUGCUUGUCAAUUAUGUGAUGUUAAAGCCGUAUUUAUUAUCUCCAGCUGUUUGUUUAUUUUUCUGCAUCUAUGUUUUAACUGUUCUUUUAAGCAGUGAAAUUAUUUUAAAUUUAAUAUCCCCACAAUGGCUGUUAAACAUUUGUCCAUGUUAUUGUUUUUAUUUUGUAUGCAUCCUGCAUCUA
Scleropages formosus (Asian bonytongue) is the source of this 1687-nucleotide long non-coding RNA. NCBI's taxonomy places the organism in Eukaryota, Metazoa, Chordata, Actinopteri, Osteoglossiformes, Osteoglossidae. The record is from Ensembl.